RNAcentral lists this ribosomal RNA (450 nucleotides) under uncultured bacterium. Its description in RNAcentral is "partial 16S ribosomal RNA". It matches the Rfam family "Bacterial small subunit ribosomal RNA", at positions 354 to 796 of the family's 1533-position model. The record is from RNAcentral.
GUGGGGAAUUUUGGACAAUGGGCGCAAGCCUGAUCCAGCAAUGCCGCGUGCAGGAAGAAGGCCUUCGGGUUGUAAACUGCUUUUGUACGGAACGAAACGGUCCUGGCUAAUAUCCGGGGCUAAUGACGGUACCGUAAGAAUAAGCACCGGCUAACUACGUGCCAGCAGCCGCGGUAAGACGUAGGGUGCAAGCGUUAAUCGGAAUUACUGGGCGUAAAGCGUGCGCAGGCGGUUUUGUAAGACAGGUGUGAAAUCCCCGGGCUCAACCUGGGAACUGCACUUGUGACUGCAAGGCUAGAGUGUGUCAGAGGGAGGUGGAAUUCCGCGUGUAGCAGUGAAAUGCGUAGAGAUGCGGAGGAACACCGAUGGCGAAGGCAGCCUCCUGGGAUAACACUGACGCUCAGGCACGAAAGCGUGGGGAGCAAACAGGAUUAGAUACCCCAGUAGUCC